UACGUAGGGGGCAAGCGUUGUCCGGAUUUAUUGGGCGUAAAGAGCUCGUAGGCGGUUUGGUAAGUCGGAUGUGAAAUCUCCAGGCUCAACCUGGAGGGGUCAUUCGAUACUGCCGUGGCUAGAGGUCGGUAGGGGAGUGUGGAAUUCCUGGUGGAGCGGUGAAAUGCGCAGAUAUCAGGAGGAACACCCGUGGCGAAGGCGGCGCUCUGGGCCGAAACUGACACUGAGGAGCGAAAGCGUGGGGAGCGAACAGG
Molecule: ribosomal RNA, 254 nt
Filed under: uncultured bacterium
Lineage: Bacteria
Description: partial 16S ribosomal RNA
Rfam family: Bacterial small subunit ribosomal RNA
Source: RNAcentral